CAGCCCCUCGAGUGGUGGGGAUGAUUAUUUGGCCUAAAGCGUCCGUAGCCGACCGAGCAAGUCUUCCGUUAAAUCCAGCGUCUCAAGCGUUGGACCGCGGGAGAUACUACACGGCUAGAGAGUGGGAGAGGUCAGCGGUAUUCUGGGGGUAGGGGCGAAAUCCUUUGAUCCCCGGAGGACCACCAGUGGCGAAGGCUGCUGACUAGAACACGUCUGACGGUCAGGGACGAAAGCUGGGGUAGCGAACCGGAUUAGAUACCCGAGUAGUCC
RNAcentral lists this ribosomal RNA (270 nucleotides) under uncultured archaeon. Its description in RNAcentral is "partial 16S ribosomal RNA". It matches the Rfam family "Archaeal small subunit ribosomal RNA", at positions 477 to 747 of the family's 1478-position model. The record is from RNAcentral.